This is a long non-coding RNA of Gorilla gorilla gorilla (western lowland gorilla), 2233 nucleotides long. RefSeq lists it as uncharacterized. NCBI's taxonomy places the organism in Eukaryota, Metazoa, Chordata, Mammalia, Primates, Hominidae. The transcript is spliced from 4 exons. The record is from RefSeq and is a predicted model, not a curated record.
GCUAAGUUCUUGUUCCAGCAUUUCACUGCCAAGUGCCAGAAGAAUGAGAAAUAUGCUACUUCCAGAUUGAACAUCUUUUUCAAUCCUAGUAAAAUAUGACAAAGUACAGAGAAGCCAAAAAAAUUUUGGAACAUCAAGCUCAUCAGAAAUGCUGCUUAUUGGCUGGGUGCGGUGGCUCACGCCUGUAAUCCCAGCAUUUGGGAGGCCAAGACUAACACCACAUCUACAGACACUGACCCUAGAUCACACCUCCAGGAGACAGGAGACGACAUCUUAACACUUUUCACCAUGCAUCCUCCUCUUGAAUCAGAGUGGACUAUUUGUAACUUUCACCAGUUAUGAAAAGUUUCUUGCUUUUAAACAGAGUGAAGCCAUGGAGAUAGAAUGUUAUGUCUCUGUAACAGUCAAAUAAUGCAAAGUGAAAUGUAUUUUAUUUGCCUCAUAAAACAGGACUUCUGACACUAUGGCAUAGUCCCUGCAAAAAAAGAAAUUGUCUGAAGAUAUAAUAAUUUGUGAUGUGAUCUCAGUGUAUAUCAUAUAUAAUAUAUAUGUGCAUACUUGUAUUCAUUCUUUUAAUUCAUUUAUUAAAUAAAAUGUGUUGAGCAUUUGUUACAAGCCUGACUCACCACCAUAAGAUUGAAAACAUGAAAAUAUAAGAAUACUCAAAUUUUCCUUUCCAUUUCCUUGUCAGAAAUAUUCAUUUAGUCUGUAACAAUUCUUAGAACAAAAUAACAACUUCAGGCCAGCUGCCAAAUACUUACCACUACCACUAUCAAAACUCUUUCUGGAAGUAGAUGCAACUUUGACUCACCUCACUGACAAUAACUUAAUUUGUCGUGGGUUCUAGGUGGUCUAGGUGUCCCAGACACAGCAGAGAAAUAAAAUAAAGACCCUGAUACCAGGAAGCUUACAUUCCACUGGGAGAAACAAAAAUAAACAGAUGAAUAGAAAGUAUAAUGCAAGCCAGGGAAGAAGAACGAGAAAGCAUGGUAGAAAGGUAGCAAGUAAUGAAGGAUGGGGAUUUUCUAUCUAAAUAAGAUGGUCCAGGAAGUCCUAAGUAGACGACAUGUGCACAGACACCUGAAUAGAAUUAUGAAGGAAGCCUGUGUAUAUGUUGGGAGAAAGCAUUACAGCCAAAGGGCAUAGCAAGGGCAAAGACCCAGGUAAAAACAUAUUCAGUAUGUUCAAGGAACAGGGAGGAGACCAGUGUGGCUGGGGUGCAUGGAAAAGUGGUAACAUUAUAGAAAACAAGAUGGAAAUGUAAGUUCUUGUCUUUGUAUUUUAUAGUUAAUGGGAUGGAAAGUCUUCUGUAGUGUUCUAAGAUAAAAAGAGACAUAAUCUGAUUGACAUAUCUAAAAGGUCACUUUGUUUUCUGUAUGUAAAUUAGAUCUAGGGGAACAAGAGUAGAAGAUAAGUCAUAAGGCUUUUGGUGGCAGUCAAGGUGAUGGUUUUGGCAAGGGUGAUAAUGUUGAGGCACUGCUUAAAAGUGGUUGGAGUUUGGGUGUAUUUCAGAAGCAGAGCCAAAGGAUUUAUGAAUGUGUCUUGGGUAUAAAAGAAAAAUACCAUCAAGGUUGAGCCUGAGCACUCUGAUAAGUGGUGGUUUCAUUUAUUAAAAUAUGGAAAAUUGAAGAGAAGAAGAAACCAGCGUUUAGUUUAGAAACAUAGUAAGUUUGAGAUGCCCACUAGGCAUCUCAACGGAGAUGUCAAAUAGUUAAAUAUGUGAGUCUAGAGUUCAGGGAGAGCUUGAGACUGGAAAUAAAAAUUUGGGAAACAACACCGUAAUAAUUUGUAGAGCCACAGGACUGGAUGAGAGCACUCAAAGGAUGAGUGUGGAUUAGAAGACAGGAGGACCAAAGACUGAGGGCUGGGUCUUUAACAACAUUUUUAUGGAUCUGAAAGAGGAGAAGUAGCAGCAAAAUGGUCCAAUAACAAAUGGCAGUGGAGAAGCAGGAAAACCUGGGGAAUGUGGGGUGCAAGAAUGCAACAGGAGAAAAUAUUUCAACAUGGUAAAAGUUAUCAACAGACUCAAACAUAGUGACAGGACAAGAUGAGGACUAAACAGUGUUCAUGUGGAGAUUGAGAUAGAAACUAAAAAUGGACAACCUAGGGCACUAGUGAUCUCCAUGUAGAGUAUAGCUUGGGACAGUACCCACAUAGAGUAGGUGCAACAGAAAGUAGCAGAUCAUGGUAAUGUAGGUAGUAAGUAUAAAACCAUUUUUCCAGGAGAGUUAUG